AGUUAAAAACUUAUAUAAAUAGGAUUAUGUCUUGAAAUCAUAAUUUAAGGGUUAAAAUCCCUUUUUAACUU
RNAcentral lists this transfer RNA (71 nucleotides) under Cilnia humeralis. RNAcentral's name for it is "tRNA-Ser". It matches the Rfam family "tRNA". Rfam says of the family: Transfer RNA (tRNA) molecules are approximately 80 nucleotides in length. Their secondary structure includes four short double-helical elements and three loops (D, anti-codon, and T loops). Lineage: Eukaryota; Metazoa; Arthropoda; Insecta; Mantodea; Mantidae. The record is from RNAcentral.